This 85-nucleotide ribosomal RNA is filed under the name Escherichia coli. Its description in RNAcentral is "partial 16S ribosomal RNA". It matches the Rfam family "Bacterial small subunit ribosomal RNA", at positions 1 to 83 of the family's 1533-position model. The record is from RNAcentral. Lineage: Bacteria; Pseudomonadati; Pseudomonadota; Gammaproteobacteria; Enterobacterales; Enterobacteriaceae.
UUAAAUUGAAGAGUUUGAUCAUGGCUCAGAUUGAACGCUGGCGGCAGGCCUAACACAUGCAAGUCGAACGGUAACAGGGAUCAGC